CAGCCGGGUAAUUCCAGCUCCAAUAGCGUAUAUUAAAGUUGUUGCAGUUAAAAAGCUCGUAGUUGAAUUUCGGGAUCAAUAUAUCGGUCGUGCCUUGGUACGUACUGGUAUCAUUGGUUUCUCCUUUCUGACGAACCAUGAUGUCAUUAAUUUGGUGUUAUGGGAAGUUAGGACUGUUACUUUGAAAAAAUUAGAGUGUUUAAAGCAGGCUUUAGCUUGAAUACAUUAGCAUGGAAUAAUGAAAUAGGACGUUCGAACCUAUUUUGUUGGUUUCUAGGAUCAACGUAAUGAUUAAUAGGGAUAGUUGGGGGCAUUAGUAUUCAAUUGUCAGAGGUGAAAUUCUUGGAUUUAUUGAAGACUAACUACUGCGAAAGCAUUUGCCAAGGAUGUUUUCAUUAAUCAAGAACGAAAGUUAGGGGAUCGAAGACGAUCAGAUACCGUCGUAGUCUUAACCAUAAACUAUGCCGACUAGGGAUCGGAUGAUGUUAAUUUUUUAAUGACUCAUUCGGCGCCUUACG
Molecule: unclassified non-coding RNA, 518 nt
Filed under: uncultured Glomeromycotina
Lineage: Eukaryota; Fungi; Glomeromycota
Description: SSU rRNA
Rfam family: Eukaryotic small subunit ribosomal RNA
Source: RNAcentral